CAAUAGCGUAUAUUAAAGUUGUUGCGGUUAAAAAGCUCGUAGUUGGAUUUCUGCCGAGGACGACCGGUCCGCCCUCUGGGUGUGUAUCUGGUUUGGCCUGGGCAUCUUCUUGGAGAACGUAGCUGCACUUGACUGUGUGGUGCGGUGUCCAGGACUUUUACUUUGAGGAAAUUAGAGUGUUUCAAGCAGGCACACGCCUUGAAUACAUUAGCAUGGAAUAAUAAGAUAGGACCUCGGUUCUAUUUUGUUGGUUUCUAGAGCUGAGGUAAUGAUUAAUAGGGAUAGUUGGGGGCAUUCGUACUAACGCGUCAGAGGUGGAAUUCUUGGAUUGCGUUAUGACGAACUACUGCGAAAGCAUUUGCCAAGGAUGUUUUCAUUGA
RNAcentral lists this ribosomal RNA (380 nucleotides) under uncultured eukaryote. RNAcentral's name for it is "partial 18S ribosomal RNA". It matches the Rfam family "Eukaryotic small subunit ribosomal RNA", at positions 592 to 976 of the family's 1831-position model. The record is from RNAcentral.